RNAcentral lists this long non-coding RNA (447 nucleotides) under Lonchura striata (white-rumped munia). RNAcentral's name for it is "domestica (Bengalese finch) lncRNA (ENSLSDG00000003610.1)". The record is from RNAcentral. Lineage: Eukaryota; Metazoa; Chordata; Aves; Passeriformes; Estrildidae.
GGGACCCCCCAAAAACUCCGAGUCCCCUCGAGGUCUCAAGGCCACCGCGGUGUCCCUUUAUUUGGGGGGGUCUGCAAGGCUGGGGGCGGCACCUGGGGGUCCCCAGCUGUGCCCAGCUGUGCCCAGCUGUGCCCAGGGUCUCAGCGCUGUCCCCAAGGUGCCACACCCCAAUAAAAUCCCCCAAAAUUCCCAAGGAAUUCCCGUUUUUCCACAUUUUGGUGCCUCGAGGCCAUUCCAGGUGCGUCCCACGCCGUGCCCAGGUGCGCCAGAGUCUCUCAGGGCUGUCACACCCCAAUAAAAUCCCAAUAAAUUCCCAUUUUUCCACAUUUUGAUGCCUUGAGGCCGUUCCAGCUGUGCCCCACGCCGUUCCAGCUGUGCCCAGCUGUGCCCAGGGUCUCAGCGAUGUCUCACCCCAUUAAAUUCCCAAUAAAUUCCCAUUUUCCCACA